Molecule: non-coding RNA, 78 nt
Filed under: Pseudo-nitzschia pungens
Lineage: Eukaryota; Bacillariophyta; Bacillariophyceae; Bacillariales; Bacillariaceae
Source: RNAcentral
AAAGCGAUUGGUAUCAUCUUACACACAGUUGAAUACUUUUUUUUCCCUCUUUUUCCUUCGUGUUUUCUUCUUUUUGCU